GNGCGCAGCCUGAUGCANCCUGCCNCGUGUGUGAAGAAGGCCUUCGGGUUGUAAAGCACUUUCAGUCGUGAGGAAGGUAGUGUAGUUAAUAGCUGCAUUAUUUGACGUUAGCGACAGAAGAAGCACCGGCUAACUCCGUGCAGCCGCGGUAAUACGGAGGGUGCUGAGCGUUAAUCGGAAUUACUGGGCGUAAAGCGCAAUGCAGGUGGUUUGUUAAGUCAGAUGUGAAAGCCCGGGGCUCAACCUCGGAAUUGCAUUUGAAACUGGCAGACUAGAGUACUGUAGAGGGGGGUAGAAUUUCAGGUGUAGCGGUGAAAUGCGUAGAGAUCUGAAGGAAUACCGGUGGCGAAGGCGGCCCCCUGGACAGAUACUUGACACUCAGAUGCGAAAGCGUGGGGAGCAAACAGGAUUAGAUACCCUGGUAGUCCACGCCGUAAACGAUGUCUACUUGGAGGUUGUGAGCCUUGAGCCGUGGCUUUCGGAGCUAACGCGUUAAGUAGACCGCCUGGGGAGUACGGUCGCAAGAUUAAAACUCAAAUGAAUUGACGGGGGCCCGCACAAGCGGUGGAGCAUGUGGUUUAAUUCGAUGCAACGCGAAGAACCUUACCUACUCUUGACAUCCAGAGGUCUUUUCAUAANGCNGUGGCAG
RNAcentral lists this ribosomal RNA (649 nucleotides) under Vibrio sp. UST991130-020. RNAcentral's name for it is "bacterial SSU rRNA". It matches the Rfam family "Bacterial small subunit ribosomal RNA", at positions 373 to 1014 of the family's 1533-position model. The record is from RNAcentral. Lineage: Bacteria; Pseudomonadati; Pseudomonadota; Gammaproteobacteria; Vibrionales; Vibrionaceae.